AGUGAAGUGCCUGAAAAAGGGUAAUCUUGAUAGGAUUAAUAAUGUGAUAGUUUUAGUCUCACCUACACUA
This 70-nucleotide transfer RNA is filed under the name Analophus parallelus. RNAcentral's name for it is "tRNA-Ile". Lineage: Eukaryota; Metazoa; Arthropoda; Insecta; Coleoptera; Cerambycidae. The record is from RNAcentral.